UACGUAAGGACCGAGCGUUGUCCGGAAUCAUUGGGCGUAAAGGGUACGUAGGUGGUUAGAAAAGUUAGAAGUGAAAGGCUAUAGCUCAACUAUAGUAAGCUUUUAAAACUGUUUAACUUGAGAGAUGGAAGGGAAAGUGGAAUUCCUAGUGUAGCGGUGAAAUGCGCAGAUAUUAGGAGGAAUACCGGUGGCGAAGGCGACUUACUGGGCUCAUUCUGACGCUGAGGAACGAAAGCGUGGGUAGCAAACAGG
This 252-nucleotide ribosomal RNA is filed under the name uncultured bacterium. RNAcentral's name for it is "partial 16S ribosomal RNA". It matches the Rfam family "Bacterial small subunit ribosomal RNA", at positions 524 to 776 of the family's 1533-position model. The record is from RNAcentral.